Molecule: long non-coding RNA, 799 nt
Filed under: Rosa chinensis
Lineage: Eukaryota; Viridiplantae; Streptophyta; Magnoliopsida; Rosales; Rosaceae
Description: sRNA RchiOBHm_Chr2g0119381
Source: RNAcentral
UGAGGUGAUAACCUUGGUCUCCUCUUCACACUCUACGUAUUGAUAUACAUGGUUUUUUAUUUUAGUCGACUUUUGAAGAUUUGGUGUUUUGGGGGUUCUCGAUCUCCGUAUGUGCCUCGGUCUGUUAUGCUGUUUUUGGAUUUCUUAGGUCGUUUCGGGCUCAACUAUAUGUGUCGGAGUGAUAUUUGAUGGUUGUUGUGCUUAAAAUGCAAAAUUGGUGAAUUCGUGGAGAGAGUGAGCGAAGGGAGAGGUCCCCAAAUUGCUGUGUUCCUUAUCGUGAAAGUGCAGCAGCAGGUCAGAGACCAUUCUUUGAUUUUGCAAGUAUAAGUGGAGCUGGAAAUUAUGUUGAAAUGGCUUUGGAGUUCUAAAGUGAAUCAUGGUUGUUGUUGUUGGGUUUGAAUCUCCCGGGUUGUAUGUUUAAAUUACAGAACUUUGGAGACCGGGUUGGAGACCAGAGAAUUUGACAGUCAUUGUUAUAGUUAUUAAGGAGUAGUCGCUGCUACUGCGGUGGAUACCAAGCCUAGCGGGAAUGCUUGAAUGUUCAAUUACUCAUGUUUUGAAGGUCUGAAAACUAAAGGUUGAUGCUUGUGACCGAGUUCCAAUUCGAUGGCAAAAUGAGAUGUAUAUGAGAAAGCUUAGUCUUCUACGAAGUUUUUCUGGACUUCAAGACAAAAAUAGUUUAUGAUUUCUUUCUUUUUGGGAUUAGCUUGUGAGUGUAGUAUGGUCAUGGAACCUUGACAUAUAAUUUAUAUGUAAUUGUGGAAUUAUUUAAAUAUUGGUAUGGAAGCAUCUAAUUGUG